RNAcentral lists this long non-coding RNA (1265 nucleotides) under Panax ginseng (ginseng). RNAcentral's name for it is "long non-coding RNA (PGIN_LNC011182)". Lineage: Eukaryota; Viridiplantae; Streptophyta; Magnoliopsida; Apiales; Araliaceae. The record is from RNAcentral.
ACAGGUGUUAAACCCUCUAUGAUGUGGCUGACACAUGUCAAUAUUUGUUGAUGUGUACAAAAAUUCAUUAACACAAAUAAUUAAAAAAUCCAAUUUUUAUUAAUUGUUUAUUUAUUUUUUUAAAAACAAAAUAAAUAUUUAUAUUUAAUAAACAAAAUAAAUAUUCAGAUCUAUCUUCCUUCCUCACUAGUACUCAUACGCUUUCAUCUCUCUCCUUAUCUAUCUGUCUUCUGUCGGUGUUCAGAGCGCCUUUAUCCUUUUGCCAGUUAGAGUUUGUUCAGAUCCAGAAACUCCACUGAUAAACAUAGAGAUAUAUUUCAUACACAAUAAUAAGAAUAAUAUUCUAGUUUUUCUUUUCUAAAUUUGGAACUAAGAUGCAAUAGCUUGAUGAGAGCCGAGUAAUGUUGUUGAUAUUUCUGUGAUUAUUGCUGGUGGGGCGAAAAAGGCAUACGCCGUCGUUUCAGUGAACAAAGAACAGAAGAAGUGUAUGAGUGAUUUUGGGUCUUCUUCUUCCUUUCCUUUGUUCUUCGUUCUUCUAUCAUCUCUCUUUAUUUGGAUAUUAGCUCGAAAAUAAAUCUUAAAAACAUCCAGAUCUGAUUUUGAUCCCUUCAUUAUUUGGAUGUUAGUUCGAAAAUAAAUGUUAAAAAUAUCCAGAUCUGAUUUUGAAGGUGUAAAUUUGUUUUUCAAAAAUAAAAAUUUUCUGAAUCUAGAUUUAGAUUUCUGGUGUACUCAAGAUUUUUUGAUUUGAGAAUACUGGUUGUGCUUCGAGCCUUCGAUGGUUAGGGAUGCUAUGCCGCAGCCGGUUGGACCGUUUGUAAGUUUGAAGCCGUUAAUAGCAACCCGGGCUACGGUCAGAAAGAUGUUGAGGGUUGGAUUCCAUUAGAAAGAAACAUUUCUCUCUCCCUCUCACCCUCCUGAGUUUUGCCUGAAUAACAAACUCUGCUCAAGAAAGCUUAAAAUGUCUCUAGCUCGUAUGUAUUUAAUUGUAAAAUUAUGUAAUUGGGUAAACCCCUCCUUUCUAUACCACUUAAUUCGAUGGCGUGUUUGAGAUAGAUAGAUAGAUACAAGCAUUGAAGAUAGGCUAGGCUGAUGGAGAUGUAAAUUUUCUGUAUCCAUGAUGUAUGUAUGUAUGAGAGAUUUUGUUAGUAAUUACUGUUUUUAGUUGAAAUAUAACUAUUCAAUUGUCUACAACAACGAAUUCAUCAAAACCUGUAUUAAUUUUUGUAUUAAUUAAUUUAAGAUUAUUUGUAUUAAUUAAUUCAAGA